This 491-nucleotide ribosomal RNA is filed under the name uncultured bacterium. RNAcentral describes it as "partial 16S ribosomal RNA". It matches the Rfam family "Bacterial small subunit ribosomal RNA", at positions 29 to 507 of the family's 1533-position model. The record is from RNAcentral.
GUGAACGCUGGCGGUAGGCCUAACACAUGCAAGUCGAACGGCAGCACAGUAAGAGCUUGCUCUUACGGGUGGCGAGUGGCGGACGGGUGAGGAAUACAUCGGAAUCUACUUUUUCGUGGGGGAUAACGUAGGGAAACUUACGCUAAUACCGCAUACGACCUACGGGUGAAAGCAGGGGAUCUUCGGACCUUGCGCGAUUGAAUGAGCCGAUGUCGGAUUAGCUAGUUGGCGGGGUAAAGGCCCACCAAGGCGACGAUCCGUAGCUGGUCUGAGAGGAUGAUCAGCCACACUGGAACUGAGACACGGUCCAGACUCCUACGGGAGGCAGCAGCGGGGAAUAUUGGACAAUGGGCGCAAGCCUGAUCCAGCCAUACCGCGUGGGUGAAGAAGGCCUUCGGGUUGUAAAGCCCUUUUGUUGGGAAAGAAAAGCAGCAGGUUAAUACCCCGCUGUUCUGACGGUACCCAAAGAAUAAGCACCGGCUAACUUCGUG